Molecule: long non-coding RNA, 242 nt
Filed under: Lactuca sativa (garden lettuce)
Lineage: Eukaryota; Viridiplantae; Streptophyta; Magnoliopsida; Asterales; Asteraceae
Description: long non-coding RNA (LSAT_LNC005528)
Source: RNAcentral
CUCACUAGUAGGUUGANCCGCCCAAAUGAUUCCUCACUAGUAGGUUGAGGUACUGUUGAGCUUGGGGUAUCUGCAUGAGGUGUUGGCUCAUCCAUCUAUGUAUCCUCGAAAUCAUGUGUACUGAAGGUUUCAUUGGGAUGAGGUAAUGUCGAAGAUGGCCCCCAACCGUGAACACCGGUCGAGGUUUCCCCAUCAAAUAGUUGGGUACAAAGUUCAGGGCAAGGGAGGGGUGCAUUUCUCAG